This 224-nucleotide ribosomal RNA is filed under the name uncultured bacterium. Its description in RNAcentral is "partial 16S ribosomal RNA". It matches the Rfam family "Bacterial small subunit ribosomal RNA", at positions 16 to 229 of the family's 1533-position model. The record is from RNAcentral.
GACCUGGCUCAGGACGAACGCUGGCGGCAUGCCUAACACAUGCAAGUCGAACGGAGAUUAUUUCGAUAAUCUUAGUGGCGAACGGGUGAGUAACGCGUGGGCAACCUGCCCUCUAGAUGGGGACAACAUCCCGAAAGGGGUGCUAAUACCGAAUGUGACAGCAAUCUCGCAUGAGGAUGCUGUGAAAGAUGGCCUCUAUUUAUAAGCUAUCGCUAGAGGAUGGG